GUGGGGAAUAUUGGACAAUGGGCGAAAGCCUGAUCCAGCCAUGCCGCGUGUGUGAAGAAGGUCUUCGGAUUGUAAAGCACUUUAAGUUGGGAGGAAGGGCAGUAAGUUAAUACCUUGCUGUUUUGACGUUACCGACAGAAUAAGCACCGGCUAACUUCGUGCCAGCAGCCGCGGUAAUACGAAGGGUGCAAGCGUUAAUCGGAAUUACUGGGCGUAAAGCGCGCGUAGGUGGUUUUGUAAGUUGGAGGUGAAAUCCCCGGGCUCAACCUGGGAACUGCCUCCAAAACUGCAUGACUAGAGUACGGUAGAGGGUAGUGGAAUUUCCUGUGUAGCGGUGAAAUGCGUAGAUAUAGGAAGGAACACCAGUGGCGAAGGCGACUACCUGGACUGAUACUGACACUGAGGUGCGAAAGCGUGGGCAGCAAACAGGAUUAGAAACCCUAGUAGUCC
This 450-nucleotide ribosomal RNA is filed under the name uncultured bacterium. RNAcentral's name for it is "partial 16S ribosomal RNA". It matches the Rfam family "Bacterial small subunit ribosomal RNA", at positions 354 to 796 of the family's 1533-position model. The record is from RNAcentral.